Molecule: microRNA precursor, 90 nt
Organism: Mandrillus leucophaeus (drill)
Lineage: Eukaryota; Metazoa; Chordata; Mammalia; Primates; Cercopithecidae
Source: Ensembl
AGUUUAUUAGGUUGGUGCAAAAGUAAUUGUGGAUUUUGCCAUUACUUUUAAUUGCAAAAACCAUAAUUACUUUUGCACCAACCUAAUAAA